RNAcentral lists this ribosomal RNA (332 nucleotides) under uncultured bacterium. RNAcentral describes it as "bacterial SSU rRNA". It matches the Rfam family "Bacterial small subunit ribosomal RNA", at positions 568 to 898 of the family's 1533-position model. The record is from RNAcentral.
CGUGUAGGCGGCUUUUUAAGUCAGACGUGAAAUCUCUGGGCUUAACCCAGAAAUUGCGUUUGAAACUGGAAGGCUUGAGGAUCGGAGAGGGUAGUGGAAUUCCCAGUGUAGCGGUGAAAUGCGUAGAUAUUGGGAGGAACACCAGUGGCGAAGGCGACUGCCUGGACGACACCUGACGCUGAGGCGCGAAAGCCAGGGGAGCAAACGGGAUUAGAUACCCCGGUAGUCCUGGCCGUAAACGAUGGGUACUAGGUGUGGGAGGUAUCGACCCCUUCCGUGCCGCAGUUAACACAAUAAGUACCCCGCCUGGGGAGUACGGCCGCAAGGUUGAA